This 464-nucleotide ribosomal RNA is filed under the name uncultured bacterium. RNAcentral describes it as "partial 16S ribosomal RNA". It matches the Rfam family "Bacterial small subunit ribosomal RNA", at positions 339 to 795 of the family's 1533-position model. The record is from RNAcentral.
CUACGGGCCGCUGCAGUGGGGAAUAUUGCGCAAUGGGGGCAACCCUGACGCAGCAACGCCGUGUGAGCGAGGAAGGCCUUCGGGUUGUAAAGCUCUGUCAAGGUGGAAAAAUGGUCAGCGUCUAAUAGGCGUCUGAUUUGAUGGUACACCUAAAGGAAGCACCGGCUAACUUCGUGCCAGCAGCCGCGGUAAUACGAAGGGUGCAAGCGUUGUUCGGAUUUAUUGGGCGUAAAGGGCGCGUAGGCGGAUGUGCAAGUCAGGUGUGAAAUCUCGGGGCUCAACCUCGAAACUGCGCCUGAAACUGCAUGUCUAGAAUCUUGGAGAGGAAAGCGGAAUUUCGCAUGUAGGGGUAAAAUCCGUAGAGAUGCGAAGGAACACCAGAGGCGAAGGCGGCUUUCUGGACAAGUAUUGACGCUGAGGCGCGAAAGCGUGGGGAGCAAACAGGAUUAGAUACCCGAGUAGUC